Molecule: non-coding RNA, 171 nt
Organism: Podarcis lilfordi (Lilford's wall lizard)
Lineage: Eukaryota; Metazoa; Chordata; Lepidosauria; Squamata; Lacertidae
Source: the annotation of a GenBank genome assembly
GUGCAAGCAGGAGGGGGCAGGGAUCUCUCAGGCAGCGCGAUGCCUCCCUUCCUAUCGAAGCAGCUCCAAUCCCAUGCAGGUGUGCAAGCAGGAGGGGAUGGGGACCCCUCAGCUGGGAAGGGAGGCUUCCAGUUGCCUAACUGAGAGGUCCCUGCCCCCUCCUGCUUGCAC